GGGGUUUUAGCUCAAUGGAUAGAGCAAGAGGUUUCUACCCUCUAGGUUACAGGUUCGAGUCCUGUAGGCCCCA
This 73-nucleotide transfer RNA is filed under the name Caudoviricetes sp. RNAcentral describes it as "tRNA-Arg". It matches the Rfam family "tRNA". Rfam says of the family: Transfer RNA (tRNA) molecules are approximately 80 nucleotides in length. Their secondary structure includes four short double-helical elements and three loops (D, anti-codon, and T loops). The record is from RNAcentral. Lineage: Duplodnaviria; Heunggongvirae; Uroviricota; Caudoviricetes.